RNAcentral lists this unclassified non-coding RNA (566 nucleotides) under Drosophila pseudoobscura pseudoobscura. RNAcentral describes it as "GA23189". The record is from RNAcentral. Lineage: Eukaryota; Metazoa; Arthropoda; Insecta; Diptera; Drosophilidae.
UAUCAAAUAAUAAAUUAUUAUUUUACCAAAACGGAACUUUACAUUGUUACCAUAUUUUUGAUUGUAGAUAUCUGUUUCGCGACUUUAUAAUCUUUACAUUUUUUGUGACAAUGGAUGACAGAGAUAAAGCUCAGCAUAAUAUGAUAUCCAAUUUGCCGCUUUUGUUUGCAAAUGGAUACCCCACGUCGCUUGAAAAAAUAAGCGAAUCACAAUUAGAAAGUUUUAUUCCAUUUAUGGUACAGUGCUCUUUGGGCCAUAUAAACUUACCAAAAAAAAUUGACUGCAGUGAGCCCGAGUGGUGGCCGGAAAACGCACCUUUUGGAAUUCCGUUAAAAAAACCAAACGAUUUUGUUGGGAGCUGGAUGGAAAAAAUGAAAGAAAUUGUAGUAAUUUGCUAUCAAUUUCACAAAAGCUUAUUUUUAUUACGAUUUUGUAAUGAUUUAGCUGCAUAUGAACAUGCAAGCUUAAGAUUUAUAAACAAUUAUAAUUCAACAACCUCGCUAUAUGAUAGAAGAAACAACAAAUUGUUGGUAACAUUUCGGAAUGAAAACAUGUCACUAAUUUUA